Molecule: ribosomal RNA, 233 nt
Filed under: uncultured bacterium
Lineage: Bacteria
Description: partial 16S ribosomal RNA
Rfam family: Bacterial small subunit ribosomal RNA
Source: RNAcentral
CGGGUGAGUAACGCGUGAGGAACCUGCCUCAAAGAGGGGGACAACAGUUGGAAACGACUGCUAAUACCGCAUAAGCCCACGGCUCGGUAUCGAGCAGAGGGAAAAGGAGCAAUCCGCUUUGAGAUGGCCUCGCGUCCGAUUAGCUAGUUGGUGAGGUAAUGGCCCACCAAGGCGACGAUCGGUAGCCGGACUGAGAGGUUGAACGGCCACAUUGGGACUGAGACACGGCCCAG